Molecule: transfer RNA, 89 nt
Filed under: Cystobacter fuscus
Lineage: Bacteria; Pseudomonadati; Myxococcota; Myxococcia; Myxococcales; Archangiaceae
Description: tRNA-Ser
Rfam family: tRNA
About the family: Transfer RNA (tRNA) molecules are approximately 80 nucleotides in length.
Source: RNAcentral
UGGAGGAGUGGCCGAGCGGCUGAAGGCAGCGGUCUUGAAAACCGCAGGUGGCGAAAGCUUCCCGUAGGUUCGAAUCCUACCUCCUCCGU